Molecule: ribosomal RNA, 505 nt
Filed under: uncultured bacterium
Lineage: Bacteria
Description: partial 16S ribosomal RNA
Rfam family: Bacterial small subunit ribosomal RNA
Source: RNAcentral
GACGAACGCUGGCGGCGUGCCUAAUACAUGCAAGUCGAACGCACAGUUUAUACCGUAGCUUGCUACACCAUAGACUGUGAGUUGCGAACGGGUGAGUAACGCGUAGGUAACCUGCCUGGUAGCGGGGGAUAACUAUUGGAAACGAUAGCUAAUACCGCAUAAUAUUGAUUAUUGCAUGAUAAUUAAUUGAAAGGUGCAAUUGCACCACUACCAGAUGGACCUGCGUUGUAUUAGCUAGUAGGUGAGGUAACGGCUCACCUAGGCGACGAUACAUAGCCGACCUGAGAGGGUGAUCGGCCACCCUGGGACUGGGACACGGCCCAGACUCCUACGGGAGGCAGCAGUAGGGAAUCUUCGGCAAUGGACGAAAGUCUGACCGAGCAACGCCGCGUGAGUGAAGAAGGGUUUCGGAUCGUAAAGAUCUGUUGUAAGAGAAGAACGGGUGUGAGAGUGGAAAGUUCACACUGUGACGGUAUCUUACCAGAAAGGGACGGCUAACUACGUG